RNAcentral lists this long non-coding RNA (600 nucleotides) under Sus scrofa (pig). Its description in RNAcentral is "lncRNA (ENSSSCG00070014944.1)". The record is from RNAcentral. Lineage: Eukaryota; Metazoa; Chordata; Mammalia; Artiodactyla; Suidae.
AAAAUUUAUUAUGAGUCAUUUUGUUUGAGGAAUAAUGAGGAAUAACUUUAAGUUCUCUAUUUUUAACGUAGUAAUUUUCAAUUCUUUACAGAAUGAUUGGGAAAAAGUGCUUCGUCAAUUUGGUGAUAAGGACCAAAAGAUCCAGAACCUUGAAGCCUUAUUACAGGAGAGUAAAGAAAAUAUUUCUUUCCUAGAAAAGGAAAGAGAAGAUUUUAUGCAAAAACUCAGGCUGGUGAAGGAGAGACCGCUGUUCUUAAUCAGUUGCAGGAAGAAAACCAUAUAUUACAGGAACAAGUAACUCAACUAAAGGCCCAGGAGAAUUUGCAUGACCAGGUGCAAGAGCAGAAGGCACUUCUUAGAGCUGCACAAGACUGUCCUCUCCCUAGAAGCCAGCAUCAAUGAAUUAAAUAAUCAAUUAAAUGAAAGAAAGGAGAAGGUCUCCCAGCUUGACAUACAGGUAAUAUUGAAUUAUGUGACUUAAUACGAAGUUUGUAUGAAGAAAGCAUGUUUUAGGAUCACAUUUUGAACUGUUUCUCCCCCUCCCUACCCUGUCUCCUGCCUUACUUAUUAAUGGAAAAACAAAUAAGAAUAGGAAUUAAA